UCCGUGACGGCGUGCCUUUUGCAUAAUGAGCCUACGAGUUACCGUUGCUAGCAAGGUUAAGUACUUAAGGUACGGAUCCGUAGCGAAAGCGAGUCUGAACAGGGCGCUUUAGUUAGUAGUGGUAGACGCGAAACCGUGUGAUCUACCCAUGGGCAGGGUGAAGCUGUGGUAACACACAGUGGAGGCCCGAACCGGUUGACGUUGAAAAGUCUUCGGAUGACCUGUGGGUAGGGGUGAAAGGCCAAUCAAACUCGGAAAUAGCUCGUUCUCCCCGAAAUGCUUUUAGGAGCAGCGUUAUGUUAUAGAGUAGUAGAGGUAGAGCUACUGGUUGGAUGCGGGGGCUUCAUCGCCUACCAAAUCCUGUCAAACUCCGAAUGCUACUACUUGUUUCAUAGCAGUGAGGGCAUGGGUGCUAAGGUCCAUGUCCGAGAGGGAAAGAACCCAGACCAUCUGCUAAGGUCCCCAAAUGUAUACUAAGUUGAUCAAACGUGGUCAGACUGCUUAGACAGCUAGGAUGUUGGCUUGGAAGCAGCCAUUCAUUUAAAGAGUGCGUAACAGCUCACUAGUCGAGCGGUCCGGCGUGGAUAAUAAUCGGGCAUAAGUAUACUACCGAAGCAAUGGACAUGAAAAUGUGGUAGGGGAGCAUUCUAGUUGCGCCGAAGGUGAAUCGUGAGGUUUGCUGGAGCGGCUAGAAAAGAAAAUGUAGGAAUGAGUAACGAUAAAGCGGGUGAGAAACCCGCUCGCCGAAAAUCUAAGGUUUCCUCAGCUAUGCUAAUCAGCUGAGGGUUAGUCGCGACCUAAGGCGAACCCGAACGGGGUAGUCGAUGGACAACAGGUUAAUAUUCCUGUACCUGCUCACACUAAAAGUGACGGAGGCGAAUAGUUAGUGCGCACAGACGGAAUUGUGCGUUGAAGGGAACAGUAAUGUCCUGAUAGUACACUAAGACUACGGUCGCGGUGAUAAUCUAGCGAAUCGACUUCCAAGAAAAGCGAGUGAAGCAGCCCGUACCCUAAACCGACACAGGUAGUUGGGAUGAGAAUUCUAAGGUGCUCGAGAGAUUCAUGGCUAAGGAACUAGGCAAAAUAG
RNAcentral lists this ribosomal RNA (1087 nucleotides) under Ctenophora environmental sample. RNAcentral's name for it is "partial Bacterial large subunit ribosomal RNA". It matches the Rfam family "Bacterial large subunit ribosomal RNA", at positions 590 to 1725 of the family's 2925-position model. The record is from RNAcentral. Lineage: Eukaryota; Metazoa; Ctenophora.